Molecule: transfer RNA, 81 nt
Filed under: Mycosphaerella sp. Ston1
Lineage: Eukaryota; Fungi; Ascomycota; Dothideomycetes; Mycosphaerellales; Mycosphaerellaceae
Also listed under: 1 other name
Description: tRNA-Ser (CGA) (tRNA-Ser-CGA-1-1)
Rfam family: tRNA
About the family: Transfer RNA (tRNA) molecules are approximately 80 nucleotides in length.
Source: RNAcentral
GGCAAUGUAGCAAAGUGGUUACUGCGUUUGACUCGAAAUCAAAUUCCUUCGGGAGCGUAGGUUCGAGUCCUGCCAUUGUCG